AGAGUUUGAUCCUGGCUCAGGACGAACGCUGGCGGCACGCUUGACACAUGCAAGUCGAACGAGAGAAGAGGAGCUUGCUUUUCUGAUCUGGUGGCGGACGGGUGAGUAACACGUGAGCAAUCUGCCUUUCAGAGGGGGAUACCGAUUGGAAACGAUCGUUAAUACCGCAUAACAUAAUUGAACCGCAUGAUUUGAUUAUCAAAGAUUUAUCGCUGAAAGAUGAGCUCGCGUCUGAUUAGCUAGUUGGUAAGGUAACGGCUUACCAAGGCGACGAUCAGUAGCCGGACUGAGAGGUUGAUCGGCCACAUUGGGACUGAGACACGGCCCAGACUCCUACGGGAGGCAGCAGUGGGGAAUAUUGCACAAUGGAGGAAACUCUGAUGCAGCGAUGCCGCGUGAGGGAAGAAGGUUUUAGGAUUGUAAACCUCUGUCUUCAGGGACGAAAAAAGACGGUACCUGAGGAGGAAGCUCCGGCUAACUACGUGCCAGCAGCCGCGGUAAUACGUAGGGAGCGAGCGUUGUCCGGAAUUACUGGGUGUAAAGGGAGCGUAGGUGGGAUCGCAAGUCAGAUGUGAAAACUAUGGGCUUAACCCAUAAACUGCAUUUGAAACUGUGGUUCUUGAGUGAAGUAGAGGUAAGCGGAAUUCCUAGUGUAGCGGUGAAAUGCGUAGAUAUUAGGAGGAACAUCAGUGGCGAAGGCGGCUUACUGGGCUUUAACUGACGCUGAGGCUCGAAAGCGUGGGGAGCAAACAGGAUUAGAUACCCUGUAGUCCACGCCGUAAACGAUGAUUACUAGGUGUGGGGGGACUGACCCCUUCCGUGCCGCAGCAAACGCAAUAAGUAAUCCACCUGGGGAGUACGACCGCAAGGUUGAAACUCAAAGGAAUUGGCGGGGGCCCGCACAAGCAGUGGAGUAUGUGGAUUAAUUCGAAGCAACGCGAAGAACCUUACCAGGUCUUGACAUCGUAUGCAGAGCUCAGAGAUGAGUGAAAUCUCUUCGGAGACAUAUAGACAGGUGGUGCAUGGUUGUCGUCAGCUCGUGUCGUGAGAUGUUGGGUUAAGUCCCGCAACGAGCGCAACCCUUACUGUUAGUUGCUACGCAAGAGCACUCUAGCAGGACUGCCGUUGACAAAACGGAGGAAGGUGGGGAUGACGUCAAAUCAUCAUGCCCCUUAUGACCUGGGCCUCACACGUACUACAAUGGCUGUCAACAGAGGGAAGCAAAGCCGCGAGGUGGAGCGAACCCCUAAAAGCAGUCUUAGUUCGGAUUGUAGGCUGCAACCCGCCUACAUGAAGUCGGAAUUGCUAGUAAUCGCAGAUCAGCAUGCUGCGGUGAAUACGUUCCCGGGCCUUGUACACACCGCCCGUCACGCCAUGGGAGUCGGUAACACCCGAAGCCUGUAGUCUAACCGCAAGGAGGACGCAGUCGAAGGCGGGAUUGAUGACUGGGGUGAAGUCGUAACAGGGUA
Molecule: ribosomal RNA, 1469 nt
Filed under: metagenome
Description: bacterial SSU rRNA
Rfam family: Bacterial small subunit ribosomal RNA
Source: RNAcentral